CUGGCUCAGGAUAACGCUGGCGGCGUGCCUAAUACAUGCAAGUCGAAUGGUAGUAGCAAUACAAACCAUGGCGAACGGGUGAGUAACACGUAGGCAACCUGACUUUAAGACGAGGAUAACCGUUGGAAACGACGGAUAAUACUGGAUAGGACAUCAGAAAGGGCAUCCUUAGAUGUUUAAAGGUUAUUAUGCCACUUAGAGAGGGGCCUGCGGCGCAUUAGCUAGUUGGUGAGAUAACAGCCCACCAAGGCGAUGAUGCGUAGCCGGACUGAGAGGUUGAACGGCCACAAUGGAACUGAGAACGGUCCAUACUCCUACGGGAGGCAGCAGUAGGGAAUUUUCGGCAAUGGGCGCAAGCCUGACCGAGCAACGCCGCGUGAACGAAGAAGUUAUUCGUAAUGUAAAGUUCUUUUAUCUGGGAAGAAAAAACAAAUUGACGGUACCAGAUGAAUAAGCUCCGGCUAACUACGUGCCAGCCGCAGC
RNAcentral lists this ribosomal RNA (483 nucleotides) under uncultured bacterium. RNAcentral describes it as "bacterial SSU rRNA". It matches the Rfam family "Bacterial small subunit ribosomal RNA", at positions 19 to 518 of the family's 1533-position model. The record is from RNAcentral.